This 9642-nucleotide long non-coding RNA is filed under the name Populus trichocarpa (black cottonwood). Its description in RNAcentral is "long non-coding RNA (PTRI_LNC003902)". Lineage: Eukaryota; Viridiplantae; Streptophyta; Magnoliopsida; Malpighiales; Salicaceae. The record is from RNAcentral.
CAUGUUAAGUAAAAGCACAGACGACCAAAGGAAUGGGAAGCGAUAGAAAUAUAUUGAAAACUUGAAUAAACAGAAAACAAAAACACCAAUGCUGAGUAGCCAUGGUGGGAUUUAUAUGCAUACAUAUAUUGAUGGAAAGUAGGGAACAUAUGUUGAUAUAUAACAUGGAUAUAGGGUUAAGGUCCCUGCAGCUUCACUGAGAAUCCAUUCAUUUCCAGGAUGAAUGAAGCAAAUUUCAUUAAUCAAAGAACCGAGUAGAAGAAAACUGAUCCCAAUAGCAGCAAUUUAUCAAGACUUUUUAGAAUUUUGGAGUAAAUUUGUAUUUUUUCAGCAAUUUAUCUUUAGAUACGAGGCAGCUGUUAAAUUCCAAUUCUAUUGCCUUUCAAUCAAUUAUAUACAAACUGAUGCUUUAAGUCAAUGAUUUCAUACACAGUAGCAGAUUAAAAACACACACUGUACGUUCAUGUCCAUCUUCAAAAUCCUACUAAGAAUAGGUUACCGAGCCUCAACAAAUUUUGGGUGCUUCAGAACAUCAAAGCAUCACGGUGUUGGAAAUUCUGACUAAAUUCUACCACAACUAAUGAUACCCUAAACUCUCUACCUCUUAACUUGAGAUGCUCAGGAAUUAAUCUCCACAUAUGGAGCACUAUACAGUUCGAUGGCUCAACAUACUUUUAAAUUCAUCUUCUUUACCAAUCAUUCUUGAAUAUGCAGGUUAGCUCGCGAAAGAGGUCUGCCGCAUGCAUGCACCCACCUCUCUAGAUCCAUUAGGUAAUGCAGAAGAAAGACAUUUAAGGACAUUAGUGCUUACCUAAGCGUGUCUCCAGGCGGUAAUUUUGGUCCCCUCAAUACUGGUGAGAUGCUGAAAUUAUUGCCAUCAGCUUGGAACGAAGGGUGCCCAAGAGGCACUGGUCGAUCUGGAAUCUGUGGAACUUCAAUAUCUCCUUCUAACAUUUUCAGCGCAUCCAGAAUGGUUGGCCUUAGAGCCACCAUUAUAUGAGCACACAAAAUCCCAACCAGCACAAACCUUUCCAUUAUCCCCUUCGGAUUUGAAUUUGAAGAAUCACCACCUCUCAACAAAGAAGCAUCCAAUGCCUGUUCCACUUUUCCAGCUUUCACCAAUGACCAGGCCCAGUCUGUGAUCAAUAAAGCACGAGGUGACCCUGAAGAAGACAAAUCAAGAGCUUUUCUCCCACUCAUUAUCUCCAAAACAACCACCCCAAAGCUAUAAACAUCGCUCUUCUCAGUCAGUUGACCAUAAAGAGCAUAUUCGGGUGCUAAGUACCCAUGAGUUCCAGCCACUCUUGUCGUAAGAUGAGACUGCCCUUCCCUACUUUGCUUUGCCAACCCAAAAUCGGCAACUCUUGCUCUCAUUUCAGCAUCUAACAAUAUAUUUUUCCCCUUGAUAUCUCUAUGAUAUAUUCCAGGCUUGACUCCAUGGUGCAAAUAAGCUAAUCCCUUCGCCACAUCCAAAAUUAUGCUCUUUCUUUGAGGCCAACUUAACAAUUGCUUUUGAAUUUGAUUAUCCGAUGAUGGAAAUAAAUGGUCAUCAAGAUUCCCAUUUGACAUGUAAUCAUAAACAAGAUACCUCUGAUUGCCUCUCUCAUCAGAAUUUACAUCAUCGUCAAUCACACAGCACCCUCUGAGCGGCACCAAAUUCCUGUGCUUCAAGUUGCUAAUAAUCUCAACCUCGUUGCAAAACUCUGCAUCACCUUGAAAAUCAGAUUCUAUAACCCUUUUAAUAGCCACCACUGUCCCAUCAGAUAAAACCCCCUUGUAAACAAAACCAAACCCGCCUCUCCCAAUAAAAUUCUUCUGCGAGAAAUUGUCUGUUGCCUUCUCAAGAUCCCGAAUUUUAAACCAAAUUGACCCUGUAUUCGGCCUCAGUUUAGGCCUAGACCCUUGUUGUUCAUCUAAAUCAAAACCAAACCCUAGAUUCUUUUUCCUUCUCCAUUUCUUAUCAUACCAAAGAUACAAUCCUAACAAACUAGAGAUUACCAAAAUAGCAACACCAGCACCAGUCAAGCCAAAAACAAGAGCAGAAUGAGAAUUGCUAGCUGAACCAACGCUUGAAUUUAAUUCCAAACUAAAUAUACAUGAAACAACACCAUCACUUUCAGGACCAAACUCGUUAACAAUACCAGCAGCAUAAAGAACAGCAAAGUAAAAACAAUCUUGAGCAUGAGUUUGAUUACCAUCAGCAGACAGCAACAACGACUGUACUUUAUAACCAGCUCUAAGACAAGAAGCACAAGCUGUAAGAUCAGUAAGAUCAGACCGGCAAUCUGAAUCAAGAGAAGUCGAUUUACCAAGUUGAUCAACCCAGUCUUGAGAUGUCUCUAUACGGGCACAGAUGUUAGGUGCUGUAACAAACUGUAAAGGGUUAAAGCAGUGAGAGACAAGAUCGUCGGAAAGAGAAAAGGAGCUGAGCUUUGACUGGUAAUCUUGAAGGCAAGAACUAGAGGUAGCUAAGUUUGGAAGUUGAAAAAAAGAGGUUUCUUUGAGAUGUUGAGAUAGGGCAACGCCAAAGAGGGAGAGUAUGGUUUGGCAACAUGGGGGCUUGCUUGUGCUGUUGGUAUUGUCAUUUUGAGCAAGAGGGUUGAAGUUUCGACAAAGAGUUUGGUUCCACGGGAUUCUUAAGACAUAGUUAAGGUCCAUAGGGCAUAUGUUUGAAGUGGAGGUUUCUGCUGCUGCAGAGGUGAGAGGGAGACAGAAUGAUAUCAAGACAAGAAACCUUAAGAAAUCAAGAUUACUGCUGCCCCCCAUGCCAAGCAUUAGAUUUUGCUAAGAAUAGGGUUGCUUAGGAUUUAUUGUUAUCUUGGCUUAUGAGCUCUGGCUUGAAGUGCAGAGGAGAGGAAGAAGAAGACGAAGAAAUCAUAUGGAAGAAGAGAGGGAAAGUUCUGGUCAAACACUCACUUCAAGGGUUGUGCAGCAGGGAGUUCAGUCGGUAAGCACCAUUCAAAUAAACAAAAAAUAAUUAUCCCAAUUAAUUUUGAUAACAAAAAGUUUGAAAAUCUUUUAAGAAUAAAAAAUUCCGGUAAUUCUUCGGAAUAAAUUUCAAAAUAUUCAGGUAAGGGGGAAAAAAUUUCACGGUAUCCUAAAUUACAUGAACUACCCCAACGCUCACCUUACGUUACUCUGAGUGCUAAACUCAGCUCGCCAAAUUUACUCUAAUAAUAGUUAGUUUUUCAAGUUAAAUAAAAAAAAAGUUGUUUUAGUGAAAUCUAAUCAGACAAGCGUUUUCCAAGUUGUUAAGUAACAUGAUUUGUUUAGUAAUAUAAUAGUGAUUAUUUUUUAAAAUAUUUUUUAUUUUAAAAUAAUAAUUUUUAUAUUAACAUAUAAAAAUGAUGUGAAAUUAUAAAAAAUUAAUUUCUUAAAAAAAUAUGUUUAGACAGUAAAAACAAACCGUAAUUUGCAUGUUGAAUGCUUGGAAGUGGACUAAACGCGCUCCAAAAGGUGGGGUUUGCUUUGACCGUGGAAUAAAAGAUGGGAUGGCGUCACAUGGACGGAAGCUGGAAUGCUUUUACAAAAAGAAGACUGAUUGACGGAGUUAAGGAAGUGUCAGCACAAUGAUAAGUUCACUGACAUGGCAUUUUUGCAACCACUGGAUGAAAUCUUGUGGCUCAUCUUAUCCAUAUCGAUCGACAAUCUCAUCCCUAUUUAUUUAUUUAUUUAUUUAUUUCACUAAUUUUCAGAUUUUCCACCACUUUCUUCCCACUUUUAUUUGCCCUUCUCGAUGCUGUUUAUGUCCAUGUUAUUGGAAAAGUCUUCACAUGAAUUUUUAGGAUUGUGGAAAUUUUAAUUUUUUUAAAAAAUAUAUUUUACUUAAAAAAUAUUAAAUUGAUAAUUUUUUAGUGGUUUAUAUUGAUUUUGAUAUGUUAAUAUUUUAAAAAAAAUCUAAAAUAAAAUAUUAUAUAAAUAAAUUUUUAAAUAAAAAAUAUUUUUUAAAAAAACCUAAACCACAGUAUCAAAUACACAACAAUUAAAUAUCUAUAUAGCAUCUCUAUGGCGGGAAGCUUUGCUAUCUUUUUCCUAUUAGAAUUUUUUUUAUUUUUGAUGCAUUAAUUCAAUACAAUAAAUGUAUUUUUAAAAUUAUUGGAGAAAAAGAGUUUAAUCAAUCAAGAUGAAAACAAAAUUUUAAAAAAUAUAUUUAUUAAAUUGAUAUAAAAUUUUAACCGGAAGAUAAUACAAGUUAUUGAUUUGUUAAGUAAAUUAUGAAUUACCAAAUUAAUUUAGAUUAGUUUUUCUUAUGAAAAAAUUCAUUUAAUUCUUUUGAUAUUAACCCUGCAAAGUCAUCUAAAUUAGAUUUUAAAUCAUAAAAUUACGAAAUUGAACCGAACUUAGCCGCUAUAUUGGAAAGUACUGACCUCAAUGACAGUGACAAAAGAACCUCCCUUAAUGACCUCAAUGACAGUGACAAUCAUGGACCAUUCCUCGUCUUUGGGCUGCACUUGACAUAAGUUGGUCUGCGUUAUUAACUUGGUCUGCAUCUUAAUAUUGUUCUCAUUUGUUCCCAUUCAUUGAAGAGGUGAUAGACCUUAAAACACCAUUAAGUUAUUUUAAGGAAGUGGAGAAGCUACCAAGGCAGAAAUUAAGCGAUGAAGUAGCUAAGACAUUGUUGUCCUCUGCUCUUUACUUGUUCAGCAUUGGAAGCAAUGACUACUUUGUACCUUUCAUUACAAACCCCAGUGCGCUUCAAUCCUACAACAGAAACGAGUACAUCAGGAUGGUUAUCGGCAACCUGACAUCUGGUAUCCAAGUGAUAUGUUAAUAACCUAAACAUUCUUUCUGUUUUUCAAAUCGAUCAUAGUCUAUAUAUGGUUUCGCUUUACUGUUCCAGGAAAUAUAUAAGGAGGGAUGAAAUUUCAAUCUUGGCUGCAUUGGGCCGUUUUCCUUCCUGAGAGCACUUAAACGAACUAGAACAAGAAGUUCAGGCUGCAUGGAUGAAGUUGCAGUUCUGACAAAGCUACACAAUAGAGAACUCUAAGGUCCUUAAAAAGCUUGAGAGACAGCUUAAUGGAUUUAAGUAUUCAAAUUUUGAUUUCUAUACUUCACAUAGUGAAAGAAUAAAUCAUCCCACCGAAUAUGGUAUGUUUUUAUCUACAUGUCAAUUCAGAAUUUCCUGCUUGUGUUUGUCAAAUAACAAGUCUAUCCUAACUGUCAAGUUCAGGGUAUGACUUGUUUCUAAUCCUUCUAUACCUAUUUUAGGUUUUAAUUGUUGCAACUUGAAUGUGAAGAUUUUAAGGAGAUAAAAGUGGCAUGUUGUGGCGCUGGUCCGUAUUGAGGUUCCAAGUGUGGCCUGAACAAGUUCGAAUUACGCGAUAAUGCGAGUGAAUAUCUCUUCUUUGAUGGAAUUCAUCCAGCAGAUGAGGUUCAUAAUCAAUUUGCAAAGUUGUUGUGGAGUGGAAAUCCUGAUGUUGGAGGGCCUUACAAUCUCAAAACACUGUUUGAGGAAUAGCAUAAAUGAUAAAACAAGGUGUACUUUUUUCCAGAUGCUGUAUUAGUUAACCCAGAAGCCAAAGAAUACUUGCUUCUCUUUAUUCUAUCUUGACUUGGAAGAAAUGACAUUAGAUGUAAGACCCAGACUUUUGGCUCAAACCCAAGCCCAAGUCAGCCCAAACCCAACCUAAGUUAACCUAGGUAUAUAAGAAAAAGUUGCAAGAGAAUUAUUGUUCUCUCUUCUAAGUCUUGUGGCCACCGUGACCCUCUCCUCAUCAAACCAAGGAUUUCAGUUUUUGAUCUUGAGUUUUGGGUUUAAGAAAAGUGAAAGUAGCAAGUAAGUGAUUCUCUCUCAUGUUACUUUUAAUUAUGAUUUGUUUAUGGAAGGAUUAAAAAAAAAGAGAAAGAGAGAUUGCGGUUUAUAAGGAUUGGAAGUUUAUAUUGUUAAGAUUGAUUUAUGAUUAUUAAAGGUUUAAUGUUAGAUGAUUAAUUAGUAUGUUGUUGAAAAUAAGGAUUUAUGAGUUGAUUUGUUUAAAUUAAUUUUUAUGGGUUAAGAAAUUCAUUUUUCCCUUGCUGUAAAAUCUGGACAGAAUGGUCUAAAGGUUGAAGAUGACCAAAUUUUAUUUUGGUCCUUGAUUUGUGAAAGUUUCAGUUUAGUCCCUGAACUUUGAAAAAAUUACAAUUUGACCCCUAAAUGUAUUUUGAGAUUUUGGACAGUGUUAUUAUGAGGUCAAGGAUGAUGAAUCUCAGUUUGAUAAUUGAUUUGGAAUAUUUUUAGUUUGGUCCCUCAAUUUUAGGAAUUUACAUUUUAGUCCCUGAACUUUUAAAAAAAUUACAGUUUGGUCCCUGUGUCGUUCUGGACAGAAUUGAGGAUGUUUUAUGGGUGAAAUUUCAGUAUGGUUAUGUAUUUAUAGUUUGGUCCAGUUUUGGUAAAAUUACGUUUUGGUCCCUGUUUUGGAUAAUUGUUGUUUUAGUCCCUAAACCUAGGAGACUAAACCUAGUUUUCUUUUAUGCAUUGAAAUCUUUUAUUUGUGUUGUUUUGAGUUGCUUUUGAGUAUAUUUCAUAUAUUUAUUGUAGGUUCCCCUAACUAUCCUUAAUAGGUUUUUCGGGUCUUUCAUCUGAUAUUCAUUUUAAUCUAUAUUUUUCCGGUUGAGUGGGAUAAUCUUUAAUAUGCAUAUAUUAUAAAUAAAUAUGUAUGUUGAUUAUACAAUGAGUUCCGAGUACUCAUUUAUUCUUGAAUUUGCACUCGCAAUCUGUCAAACUAAAUUCUAUUUGAUAUGAUAUACGUUUCUUUGAUGAUUCUGUGAAUAUCUAUUAUGCCUUGAUAUAGGACUUGUCAGUAACUCCAUGCUAACAGAGAGUAGUUAGCCUAUGUGCACAUAGUAUUCUGUAUACCUAGCUGAUGAGAGAGGCAUCAGCCUGUGGCGACUGAUCAUCCCACAGUGGUCACCUUCGGGUGUCAUCUGGUCACCUUCGGGUGUCAUCUAAUCUCUGACAUGUAUUCCACUACGUUAUGAUAAUAUGUUUAGUAUGUAUAUGUAUAUGUAUAUCAAGAUAAAUUAUCUUGCAAACUAUUAAUAUUAUAAAUAUCUAAAAUGUAUUUUAAAUAUUAUUCCCUCACUGAGUUGGUUGAACUCACCCCUCAUUCUUAAUAUUAUUUCAGGUUCUUAGUUUCUGAUAACAGUUGGACUUUGUUGAGUGUUCCUGCUUCUUCAGUUUUGGUCGGUAUGCCUUGCUUGUUUUGCGAGGCUUUCCUUUUAGUUUUGAUUCGAUGUUUUAGACGCUCCACUAUUACCUUGUUUUAAUUAAGUUUGGAUUUUGACAAUGUAAUGAGUAUUAUGAAUUAUUGUUUUUGUUUUAAUUACUAAUGAGGAGUUUUAAACUAUCUUUUGGUUUCAUCAGUUUUGAAUAAUAUAAUAUUUCUGAAGAUUAUGAAAUGCUGCGUAUUUUUGAAUAAAUUAUUCUUUUGAUAUGUCUGUUUUGAGGCUUAGCGUAGGUGGGGUGUCCUUUCAACACCGCUCCUGCGUUGCUGGUCAUGGACCCGGGAUUCGGGUGGUGACAUUAGAGGUGAGAGCAGAGUUCUGUUCUUGAGUAGAACACUCACAGUAAUCAGAAAGAUCAUAUCUUGGUUUAGUAAUGCACUAGUUUACGAUGUAUCUGAUCAGCUCCUCAAAAUUCUAGAACCCUCUAAAAUCUAAAUCUGCUCCUUCUGAAAAGAUUCUGGGAGUGGCACAAACUUGAUAAUUUUCAACUUUAAAUUCCUGCUCAGAAUGAUAAGGAAAUACUUGACAUCUUAAAGCUUUCUGAAAGAAGAGAUGCUUAAAAUUCUGUUGGAUGUGUGGAAACAAUUGCUGGACCAUAAUGCCAUCAACACGGGUAUUUCUUCACGUACAAAAUUGCACUUAUCGAUUAUGACCUCUUUGAGAGCUCACAAGACCAAUACCCUACCGGCAAGAAACUAAACAAUUGUAGUCCUUUAAGGUUUGGUUCAACUUCACAAGUUAGAAAUUAAUGAAUAGGUUCUUUACAACCUCACGCAGAGAAGCCACCGGCACUAGACUCUCUACGGCCACAUUAUAGUAACAAAGGACGAAAGCCAACGACACCUAGAUUUAUCAGCAAAUAUGAGCAACAAAGUAUGAUCUACCUGUGUGUCUCAUUCCACUGCAGAAAGUGCUGCAGUCAGCUACAGACUGAUUAAAGACAUCAAAGGUAGCUGUAGAAGCUCUCUUGUAAUGAAGCAGCAGAUUGUUAAGCCUUAAUUCUGAAGCAGCAUUACAAAAGUUAAAUCAAACAAUAUGUUCAAGAACUAGUGAUAUAGAAGUCUUAGUUCAAGGACUACUAGCAUUUUGACCCAUAGUUCAAGACAGUUAUGUACCUUUUAGCCUUUAAUUUAUCAGCCUCGUUACAUUGUUGGUGUGGCCUUUCGUUUGUAUUUUUCUCAUGUUCUGUUGGUAUGCUCGACUGGAAAUGAAGCUGAACUUCUUCAUAUUCUUAGGCUUUGGAAAUCAGCCUCAACCUGUCCUCUUUUGAGUUUUGUUUUGGCUUUAGAUUUUGUCAGGCAUUGGUCUACUAAGCAAUGUUGUUGUCAUAAAAUGGUGAUUUGAAGUUUUUUGUAGGCUAGUCUUGAUACGGCUACCUCUUGUAGUCUCAGGCCACUUAGAAGAUCUAUUGUAAUUUUCUCUUUAGUGUCAAUAUUAUCAGUGAUCCAAGAAAAAAGGGACAUGUCAAUAUUAUCAAUUUAUCAAGGUUGGACAUUGGCAGCUUGGACUAAUCAUUGAUAUCCAUGUUAAGGAAAAGCACAGACGACCAAAGCAAUGGGAAGUGAUAGAAAUAUAUUGAAAACUUGAAUAAACAGAAAACAAAAACACCAAUGCUGAGUAGCCAUGGUGGGAUUUAUAUGCAUACAUAUAUUAAUGGAAAGUAGUGAACACAUGUUGAUAUAUAACAUGCAUAUAGGGUUAAGGUCCCUGCAGCUUCACUGAGAAUCCAUUCAUUUCCAGGAUGAAUGAAGCAAAUUUCAUUAAUCAAAGAACCGAGUAGAAGAAAACUGAUCCCAAUAGCAGCAAUUUAUCAAGACUUUUUAGAAUUUUGGAGUAAAUUUGUAUUUUUUCAGCAAUUUAUCUUAGAUACGAGGCAGCUGUUAAAUUCCAAUUCUAUUGCCUUUCAAUCAAUUAUAUACAAACUGAUGCUUUAAGUCAAUGAUUUCAUACACAGUAGCAGAUUAAAAACACACACUGUACGUUCAUGUCCAUCUUCAAAAUCCUACUAAGAAUAGGUUACCGAGCCUCAACAACUUUUGGGUGCUUCAGAACAUCAAAGCAUCACAGUUUUGGUAAUUCCGACUAAAUUCUACCACAACUAAUGAUACCCUAAACUCUCUACCUCUUAACUUGAGAUGCUCAGGAAUUAAUCUCCACAUAUGGAGCACUAUACAGUUCAAUGGCUCAACAUACUUUAAAUUCAUCUUCUUUACCAAUCAUUCUUGAAUAUGCAGGUUACCUCGUGAAAGAGGUCUGCCGCAUCCAUGCAUCCACCUCUCUAGAUCCAUUAGGUAAUGCAGAAGAAAGACAUUUAAGGACAUUAGUGCUUACCUAAGCAUGUCUCCAGGCUGUAAUUUUGGUCCACUCAAUACUGGUGAGAUGCUGAAACUAUUGCCAUCAGCAUGGAACGAAGGGUGCCCAAGAGGCACUGGUCGAUCU